Vombatus ursinus (common wombat) is the source of this 451-nucleotide long non-coding RNA. RefSeq lists it as uncharacterized. The transcript is spliced from 3 exons. NCBI's taxonomy places the organism in Eukaryota, Metazoa, Chordata, Mammalia, Diprotodontia, Vombatidae. The record is from RefSeq and is a predicted model, not a curated record.
UCCUCUUCAAAUUGAUUCCAAUACUCCAUGUCAUUCCUCCUAACACCGGCCCCCUCCCAAAGAUUUUCAAAUGAACUAGUUGGUGACACUGGUCAGUCAGUCAUUCAGUAAUUUCUGUAAGAAUGUAGACAAUGUGCCAGUGGUAGAAGAAAAGAAGUAACUUCUGAAGAGAUUCUUUGGUUACAAAGAACUGAUGGUCUCUGACCUUGGGGAAGCACCAACAGGCCCAGACAUGAAGACUUUGCUAUGAAUGGACUUUUUGUCACUAGACAACCUUAUCUUAUUGUUGCUGUUGUGCCUCACUACUGUUGCUGCACUACGAUGCUUGACUUUGUCCAGCCACAAGUAUAUAAAUCAAUUUUCAACCACACUAAAGCAGAUCCCCCCGAUAGGGGUGGGGGGCGUGUGGCCCUGGCACAUGUGUGUAAUCUGUCUCCUUGCUUGAAAGCCA